Triticum aestivum (bread wheat) is the source of this 135-nucleotide non-coding RNA. NCBI's taxonomy places the organism in Eukaryota, Viridiplantae, Streptophyta, Magnoliopsida, Poales, Poaceae. The record is from Rfam.
UAUGUACUCCCUCCGUCUCAAAAUUCUUGUCUUAAAUUUAUGUAGAUAUGGAUGUAUCUAAUACUAAAAUGUGACUUGAUAUAUCCGUACUUAGACAAAUCUAAGACAAGAAUUUUGGGACAGAGAGAGUAUGUA